AUCUCUUGCGGCAUUCAUUCUUCCUUCACAACGUAUCCGGUGCUUCUCUGUUUUCCGUAAUUAAUUUCGUCGGUUUCUCUUUCAAACCUUUUAUUCUCGGACUUUGUUUAGCGUUCUGGAUACAGCAAUAUACAAAACCAAAGAAGGAGAAUGCCGGCGUUGGUCUUGGAUGAGAGCGAAUGAGUUUGAUGCAGGGAAACAAGAACAAAGAGCCAAAGCGAGGUAGGGUUUGGAUUCAGAAGAAAAGAGCGUACCUGUAAAAGAGUCAAGAUGGAAAAGGUGAACAUGAGUUGCAGAUUGCUGAUCAAACAUCUACUUCUUCUACAAUGUUCUACAGAGUGUGACCCCUUUGAAGCUUUUUUCUGAAUCGGUCAAUCCGUCAGCGUUGUCUGCUUUCGCCCUCCGUCGUCCUCGAUGCUUCUCCUGUCUCCUAUUGCCUGCCGCUCCAUGUCGAGGUUGGCGAUGACUGGCGUAGCUUACGCAUCAUCAGUGUCGUCUGCGCUGUUUGCUUUCCCCCUCCUCCAAUCUCAAUUGUCUGCCGCUCCACGUCAAGUUUCUAAAUCAACUUGGGAAGAUUAAAAAUGAUAAUUUCCUCAAACCGACUUAGCGUUGUGGACUUGCCCUCAUGCGUCCAGGAAGAUUGGAUAGAAAAAUGGAAUGGAACAUGAUGUGAUUGUCUCACAAAUCCUUAGUGUAAUUCAAGUGGAGUCUUAAAUUAAGAUCACAGCUAGCCAUAUUUUUCAACAGUGUGAUUCAAGUGUAUCAUCUUACCCAAACGAAAGACAGUAGGAGCAACGAAGGAGAUAAAUGGGAGUGGAUAUGAGAAUUCUUACUAAACGUACAAGUUGCAGCGUUGUUGUCUCCCGCCAAGAUUAUAUGAAUAAGAGUUAUGUGAAUAGAGAGAGAGAAGACUGGGACAGAAAAAUGCUAAAAUGAGUCAUUUUAGACUGCAUGAACUUCAAUUUUCCCAGAAUAAGAAAGUAAAGUGCUCAUCCAGCAGAGGCAACGGCAAAGUGAAGGACAAGAAAGGUAGUGGACAGAAAGAUUCAUAUGCAAAUCAACCUAUGAUCAUUUGUAUCAAGUGACAUGAUGCAUUUAGAAACUGCAGGUUAUUGUUGUUGAUUCUCAAGAGGAUGAUAGUAGGAAUAAGAAGGGUAUCAGUAUCACCAACUCUGCUAAUAAAUAUUAUUGGCUUAUUUGAGGUCAACACCAUAGGUUUUGGUUAAAAAUGAUGGCUAGAAUGGUAUAUAUGGAGUGAGAAGGAUUAUGGAAAAAUUGUUAAGGCAUGACACUGCCCAUUGAGAUUAUCCAAAGGCCUAAGUCACUUGAUUUAGGAGUGCAGUUCUCUAGCAGCCCUGAUGAGCCAGCCACUGAGUGAGCUAGGAUCAAGUUUUCAAGAAUUGGUGCUUUUGAGAAGCAUACUAAAACUGAGCCAGCUAGGAGGAAGUCUUCAAGAAUUGGUGCUUUGGAAAACAUACCAAAGAUUUUGGAUCAAAGGUGAUGGCUAAGACGGUAGGUAGAGAAUCAUAAUGUAAUUACACCAUUGAGUAUUGUUAGGCUACCAAAGCCAUGAGGACAAGGCUCCAAAAGUUUGUAAGAUCAAGUUUUGAUCGAGUAGUACAACUCUAUGUUUUGAUGAUUACAAGUUAACAUUUUAGUAUGAACAAUUAUGGUACUCUAACGUGUUUUUCUGAGUGUGCUAUUUACAGGCUCUGACCUCAAUUUAAUCUCACACAAAUCAGAAGCACUGUGCUUAAAGAGUGACCCAAGCAGCGCUUUCGCAACAUCUAUGUUCACUCUGAACAGUAGAAACGCUUCAGAAGAUCUGAAGUCAUACAAGCUCUGAUAUGGACUCAGUCACUUGAAGUUCUGAAGAUCCAGACGUUCUGACAACCCAGACACUCUGAAGGUUCAGAUGUUCUGAUGGUGUAGAAGACUCUGAAGAUCCAGAAGCUGAAAAGUGGAAACUCUGAUGUCUAGAAGCAAGAUGACUCUGAAGACCAUGUACUUCCCUCUGAGUUCAGAAUCAGAAGAUACAACGGUCAGAGGAUCUCUGCUUCCCUCUGACUCUGAUCAACGAGCUUCACAAGUUCCAACAUGAAGCAUUCCCCUGAUUAGAAGUCUACUAGGUUUAAAGGUCAAGUCACUAUCCAAGUACAAAAGCAAAUGUACUAUCCUGACGACCUACCUAACAUUCUCAGCCACAGCAGAAGCUGGAAUUUCCAGAACUGCCCUCCAACGGUAGCAUUCUCAUGCAGCGUUCAAACCCUAAUCCUUGGAGUAUAAAUAGAGGCUGAAGAUUGAAAGAUGCGAUUGGAAGAAUCUCACACGCGCAAGCUAUAUUCAAACCUUCUAAGCAUUCUUUCAUCUGAAUUCAUUGUGUUUACUAUUAGCUUUUCAGAAGCAAAUUCUUUGUAAACAUUCUUUCUUAAACAGUUGUUUAGUUACCUUUAGGAGAUCAAGUUUGAUCGGAUCCUAGAGAAGACUAAGAGAGUGAAUCUUAGUGUCAGCUAAGUCAGUGUAUUGUUAGUCACUUGUAGGUUUCAAGUGCAGUUGUAACAUUUACCUGAUUAGUGGAUUGCCUUCAUUCUAAGAAGGAAGAAAUCACCUUAACGGGUGGACUGGAUUAGCUUGAGUGAUUCAUCAAGUG
Long non-coding RNA from Lotus japonicus, 2650 nucleotides. RefSeq lists it as uncharacterized. The record is from RefSeq and is a predicted model, not a curated record. The transcript has 5 exons. Lineage: Eukaryota; Viridiplantae; Streptophyta; Magnoliopsida; Fabales; Fabaceae.